This 272-nucleotide ribosomal RNA is filed under the name Stephanocyathus diadema. RNAcentral describes it as "partial large subunit ribosomal RNA". It matches the Rfam family "Bacterial large subunit ribosomal RNA", at positions 2003 to 2454 of the family's 2925-position model. The record is from RNAcentral. Lineage: Eukaryota; Metazoa; Cnidaria; Anthozoa; Scleractinia; Caryophylliidae.
CACGAAAGUUCUUCUGUUUUAAAAAAACACUCAAGGAAAUUGAAUUUGUAGUGAAGAUGCUACAUUAAAGUGGUUAGACGAGAAGUCCCCAUGGAGCUUUACUGAAAGCCGAAAAGAAAUUUUUUUAUCGGCUAGACAGUUUUGUUGGGGUGAUAGUUUUUUAAAAAGUAACGAAAACGAACUAUGACGCAUGUUUCACUCUGAAAACUGGAAGAGACAUUUUGGGUGUGUUUUAUGAUCUAUUGUUUUGAAUGAAAAAGAUAAUGAAAGCA